CAAAUACUCCCUUCGUACGAAAAUACUUGUCGAAGAAAUGGAUAAAAAUAGGUGUAUUUAAAAUUAAAAUACGUCUAGAUACAUUCAUUUCUUCGAUAAGUAUUUUUGGACCGAGGGAGUAGUAC
Non-coding RNA from Triticum aestivum (bread wheat), 125 nucleotides. Lineage: Eukaryota; Viridiplantae; Streptophyta; Magnoliopsida; Poales; Poaceae. The record is from Rfam.